AGAGUUUGAUCCUGGCUCAGGACGAACGCUGGCGGCGCGCUUAACACAUGCAAGUCGAGCGAGAACCGGGGCUUCGGCCCCGGGGACAGCGGCGAACGGGUGAGUAACACGUGGAUAACCUGCCCUCGGCACCGGGAUAGCCCGGGGAAACCCGGAUUAAUACCGGAUGGCCCUUCCGGCUUCAGAGCCGGUCGGAAAAGGUAGCUUCGGCCUCCGGCCGAGGAUGGGUCCGCGGCGGAUUAGCUUGUUGGUGGGGUAAUGGCCUACCAAGGCUCCGAUCCGUAGCUGGUCUGAGAGGACGAUCAGCCACACUGGGACUGAGACACGGCCCAGACUCCUACGGGAGGCAGCAGUGGGGAAUCUUGCCCAAUGGGCGAAAGCCUGAGGCAGCGACGCCGCGUGAGGGAGGAAGGCCUUCGGGUUGUAAACCUCUUUCAGGAGGGACGAAGCUACUCGGGUGAACAGCCCAGAGGGUGACGGUACCUCCAGAAGAAGCCCCGGCUAACUACGUGCCAGCAGCCGCGGUAAUACGUAGGGGGCAAGCGUUGUCCGGAUUUACUGGGCGUAAAGCGCGUGUAGGCGGCCGCGCAGGUCCGUUGUGAAAACUGGAGGCUUAACCUCCAGACGUCGACGGAAACCGUGUGGCUAGAGUCCGGAAGAGGAGAGUGGAAUUCCUGGUGUAGCGGUGAAAUGCGCAGAUAUCAGGAAGAACGCCAAUGGCGAAGGCAGCUCUCUGGGACGGUACUGACGCUGAGACGCGAAAGCGUGGGGAGCGAACAGGAUUAGAUACCCUGGUAGUCCACGCCGUAAACGAUGGGUGCUAGGUGUGGGAGGUGUCGACUCCUUCCGUGCCGUAGCUAACGCAUUAAGCACCCCGCCUGGGGAGUACGGCCGCAAGGCUAAAACUCAAAGGAAUUGAC
This 920-nucleotide ribosomal RNA is filed under the name uncultured bacterium. RNAcentral's name for it is "bacterial SSU rRNA". It matches the Rfam family "Bacterial small subunit ribosomal RNA", at positions 8 to 914 of the family's 1533-position model. The record is from RNAcentral.